Molecule: non-coding RNA, 1567 nt
Organism: Aegilops tauschii subsp. strangulata
Lineage: Eukaryota; Viridiplantae; Streptophyta; Magnoliopsida; Poales; Poaceae
Source: RefSeq, a predicted model, not a curated record
GAACCCUAAUCAAGUCCCGAUCGAGGUGAGGGGAACGACAGCGCAUCGAUCUGGAAUCAGAGUGUGGCGGCCGGUUCCAUCCAUCGAAGACCGCCGGGUGCGUCCGUCCACCUGAGUUCAGGGAUGGGAUCGAGUCCAUCCGGUCGAUCCCAGCGACCGGAGGAGCGGGAUCCAGGUGAAGACGAGUCCAUCCGCGACCCGAUCCAGGUCGAGCCGAUCCAAUCCAGCGCGUGGCAGAGAGGGAGAGACGUCUCCUGUACUGGUAACUUCUCUCCUCUCCUUCAAGCUCGCAAUGAUGGCAUUGUUCUGCUGGAAACUGCUCGAUCCUCUCCUUCAAGCUCACAAUCAUGGCAUUGUUCUACUGGAAACUGCUCUGUCCCCUUCAAGCUCGCGAUUAUGGCCUAUUAUCAUUCAUUCAUUCAUUCAUUCAUUUGCUUAAUGCCUGGUAAAGUCGCAAACCUUGCAGGUACUAUAUAAUGCUUCCCUCCCUGGCUGUCUAUGCACAUCUUACUCCAGCAGCAACAUCUUCUUCGGCGACAUGCUCAGGUGAUGGUUCAUGCUACGUGUUGACAAUUGAUUUGGGCAGAUUCUGCAGGUUCCUAUUGUCCAUUGUUGUGCUCAGUCGUUCAUCAUCUGAAAUGGCUUUUGGACAGAACUGGACAUAUAGGUGUUUCAUGCUUGCUGUGGUUGAUUGAUUUGGGCAGUUCAUGGAGACUGUACUCACAAUUUUUCUACUUCGGCAGCUCACGAUCAUCUAUGGCUUCUGCACAGAUGUCGGAAUAGUUUCAGUGAUUUCAGAUCUCUUUUAAGGUUUGACUGCCUGCUCGAGCCCAGGAUUCUGACAAAAGUAACCUCCAGAUAACAGAUACCGAGUGAACACUAGCUAGCACCAACAGAAUUGAGAUUAUGUUGAUCUCUCGUGCACAUGGUCACGUACUUAGUACACCAGUAUAGUCCUUUCUCAAAUUAUAAAGUACUUCAUUUGUUCACUGCACCAACAUAUCUCAAAAAUUUAUGGGCAAAAAACGCCACUGCCAGCCAGCCAACGGACACCGGAAGAUCCAAAUUGCACUUGUCAAUAAUGCUUCCAGUAGCACAAACAAGAAAAAGGCAAAAGGUUCUGCAACUGACACAAUCAAGACCUCUUCUUCGAAAAAGAAACUUCAUCUCCCUGAGCAAAGAUUGGCUCAUCUACUUUGGGAGCUAUUAAAUAAAUGGAGAUGUUAUGAUUGUGACCACCCUUUUUGGACGUUUUACUUAUGUCGUCUGCCUGCGACAACUAUCACCGAGGUUACGUGAUAAGACUUUGUGUUUGCCAAUUCCGGCUUAUCUGUGUUGUGUUUUCAGAGAACCAUUGCUCCUGUCUGAACUGAAUUAUCCAAGACUUGCAUCUCUACAAUCACCCUUAUUUAUCCUCUAAAGUGAUGUUUCUGUUCUUUGCUACAUUAUGAUCCCGUGUCUCACUGUGGUGAAUCUGGAUAGUUGCCCUAUUAUCAGCCUUUUUCUGUUUUUUACGGGUGAGCAGCUGCUACAUCUUUCAUAAUAAAGGUCUCUCGUAUUAUACUUU